GUUGUUGUAGUAUAGUGGUGAGUAUUCUUGCUUUUUAUGCGGGUAACCUGAGUUCAAUCCUCGGCAAUGGUG
RNAcentral lists this transfer RNA (72 nucleotides) under Ipomoea nil (Japanese morning glory). It matches the Rfam family "tRNA". From Rfam's summary of the family: Transfer RNA (tRNA) molecules are approximately 80 nucleotides in length. Lineage: Eukaryota; Viridiplantae; Streptophyta; Magnoliopsida; Solanales; Convolvulaceae. The record is from Rfam by way of RNAcentral.